UGAAGGAAAGAGCUUGCUCUUUUUGGAUGAGUUGCGAACGGGUGAGUAACGCGUAGGUAACCUGCCUUGUAGCGGGGGAUAACUAUUGGAAACGAUAGCUAAUACCGCAUAACAAUGACUGACACAUGUUAGUGAUUUAAAAGGGGCAACUGCUCCACUACAAGAUGGACCUGCGUUGUAUUAGCUAGUUGGUGAGGUAACGGCUCACCAAGGCGACGAUACAUAGCCGACCUGAGAGGGUGAUCGGCCACACUGGGACUGAGACACGGCCCAGACUCCUACGGGAGGCAGCAGUAGGGAAUCUUCGGCAAUGGGGGCAACCCUGACCGAGCAACGCCGCGUGAGUGAAGAAGGUUUUCGGAUCGUAAAGCUCUGUUGUAAGAGAAGAACGGGUGUGAGAGUGGAAAGUUCACACUGUGACGGUAUCUUACCAGAAAGGGACGGCUAACUAC
This 452-nucleotide ribosomal RNA is filed under the name Streptococcus sp. RAG25. Its description in RNAcentral is "bacterial SSU rRNA". It matches the Rfam family "Bacterial small subunit ribosomal RNA", at positions 67 to 504 of the family's 1533-position model. Lineage: Bacteria; Bacillati; Bacillota; Bacilli; Lactobacillales; Streptococcaceae. The record is from RNAcentral.